GUGACAGCUCAUGGGAUGAAUGCGGUGCAGGCUGUGGUUGAAGGGCUGAUGAAGGGGUGACUGUGCCGGGACCCACCUGCCCUCCCCUCUAUCUCCCUGUGCCAUGCAGGUGUGGUCAAUGGGCUGAUGGGCACGACUGUGAGACCCCAUCAUUCCCCCAGCCCACAUGACUCUGCUCUCCCAGCUCGACUGUUCACUUCAGACUUCCCUUAUGGAAGGAGUUGCCAGAUAGAGCAAGCAAAAUAUAAUGUGCCAGGCUAAACAUGUAUCAUCUCCUCAUAGUUACUGAUGAAAUGAUGUUCUUUCUGGGAUGUUCUCAGAUUGAUGUGCUUCAAGUUGUGACACUGGACAGAAUAGGCUUUUUUGGGGAAAUGCAGCACAGGACUUGCGUUGACUCCAUUCAUGCUGAGUGCCUGGUGCAGGUUCCAGAUGAACUCUGGAGCUUUGCUGGGAACGAUGAGUGGCAGUCUCUGCUGGAGACUGGAAGCUGUGAAGCCACAGACACCUGCCCAGAAGCUGGGACAUGAGCUGGUGGUGCCUGAUCACAUUACCUACUUGACAAUUACAUUAAAUGAAUAUUUUUAAACAUUCAAAGAUGAAACGUU
This is a long non-coding RNA of Cercocebus atys (sooty mangabey), 605 nucleotides long. RefSeq lists it as uncharacterized. The record is from RefSeq and is a predicted model, not a curated record. NCBI's taxonomy places the organism in Eukaryota, Metazoa, Chordata, Mammalia, Primates, Cercopithecidae. The transcript is spliced from 3 exons.